CGAGUCCGAGUCUCCACGGAGACGAAGUGGCGGUCAUCCAACUUCCUAGAAAAGCUCUAACCACGUUAAUCUUUAGUUGCCUGUACCCGAAACCGACACAGGUAGGGGGGUAGAGAAUACCAAGGGGCGCGAGAUAACUCUCUCUAAGGAACUCGGCAAAAUGACCCCGUAACUUCGGGAGAAGGGGUACCACUGAGAAGUGGUCGCAGUGAAGAGGCCCAGGCGACUGUUUACCAAAAACACAGGUCUCCGCCAAGUCGCAAGACGAAGUAUGGGGGCUGACGCCUGCCCAGUGCCGGAAGGUUAAGGAAGUGGGUUAGGGAUUCGUCCCGAAGCUGACGACUGAAGCCCCGGUGAACGGCGGCCGUAACUAUAACGGUCCUAAGGUAGCGAAAUUCCUUGUCGGGUAAGUUCCGACCCGCACGAAAGGCGUAACGAUCUGGGCGCUGUCUCGGAGAGAGGCUCGGCGAAAUAGGAAUGUCUGUGAAGAUACGGACUACCUGCACCUGGACAGAAAGACCCUAUGAAGCUUUACUGUAGCUUGGAAUUGGGUUCGGGCUUGGUUUGCGCAGGAUAGGUGGGAGGCGAAAAAGAUUUGCUUGUGGGUGAAUCUGAGCCAACGGUGAGAUACCACUCUAACCAGGCUAGAAUUCUAACUUCAACCCGUCAACCGGGGGAAGGACAGUUUCAGGUGGGCAGUUUGACUGGGGCGGUCGCCUCCUAAAAGAUAACGGAGGCGCACAAAGGUUCCCUCAGGCUGGUUGGAAAUCAGCCAACGAGUGCAAAGGCAGAAGGGAGCUUGACUGCGAGACCUACAAGUCAAGCAGGGUGGAAACACGGUCUUAGUGAUCCGACGGCACCGAGUGGAAGGGCCGUCGCUCAACGGAUAAAAGUUACUCUAGGAUAACAGGCUGAUCUCCCCCAAGAGUUCACAUCGACGGGGAGGUUUGGCACCUCGAUGUCGGCUCAUCGCAACCUGGGGCGGAAGUACGUCCCAAGGGUUGGGCUGUUCGCCCAUUAAAGCGGUACGUGAGCUGGGUUCAGAACGUCGUGAGACAGUUCGGUCCAUAUCCGGUGUAGGCGCAAGAACAUUGAGAGGAGUCUUCCUUAGUACGAGAGGACCGGGAAGAACGCACCGCUGGUGUACCUGUUAUCGUGCCAACGGUAAACGCAGGGUAGCCAAGUGCGGAGUGGAUAACCGCUGAAAGCAUCUAAGUGGGAAGCCCACCUCAAGAUGAGUGUUCUCAUGGAGUAAUCCAGUAAGGUCACGGGAAGACGACCCGUUGAUAGGCGGUAGGUGGAAGUUCAGCAAUGGAUGAAGCCGAGCCGUACUAACAGACCGAGGGCUUGACC
Molecule: ribosomal RNA, 1353 nt
Filed under: metagenome
Description: bacterial LSU rRNA
Rfam family: Bacterial large subunit ribosomal RNA
Source: RNAcentral